AUUGAUAUUGAUUACUUUCAAAAAAUGUUCAUAUUUGUUAAAAUAUAAAUAUUAUCUCGAUUUAUUUAAAUUUCUCUACUUUUCCUACCUUGAUCUUGCAUUUGAUAAUUUGUAAAUAUUAUUUUUUUGUACCUCAUGUGUCCUUGAUAUGGUUUGAGAGAAAUAAACAUUCAUACAUUAGAAGGACAUAUGAUGACCGUCAGAAGUAACUAUAUAUAUUUUUAAAAACCAUUCCCUGUAAAUCUGACCAGGUAAAAACACGAAGACUAUGUUCUUGUGAUAAAUGUGUCACUUUCAAUUCCAUAAGUUUGAUAUCUCAAAACAUUUUUACCAAAACAAAGUACCCUGUUAUAUAAUCUUAAUGUGCACAUGGUUAACGUCAAUAUGUAAAAUAGUUUUGUGAAUGUAAUUAAGUUUGUAUGGAACGUAUAACAGAAUUUGAUAUUUGUGUUAUUCCCAAUUCAAAGUUCAAACAAGGUCAUUAAAAACAAUGUUCAUAUCAAAACAAGUCGAAUAAGGUUUUAUUUUUAGAUGUUGGAGAUCUUUUUGCAAAUCUUCGUUACUAGAACUUUGUGGUCUUUAUUUUUCUAAUAUGAAAUCAUGGAACUGUUAAUAAUUUUUAAAUAAUUAUUUUGCGCAUAUGUACUAAACAAAGUUUGUAUAACAGAAUAUCAGUGAAAAAUUGCAUUUUCAAUCAUUACUGAUGGAAGCAAAAAUUCAUACAAGGAUGUGAAAUAAAGAUGGUAAUUUUUCAAAUCGUAAAGAAUAAAAGAUAAAAAUAGGCAAGCUACAUGCAACACAACCCAAGCUAACACAUAACUUGACUAUGCUACACAUAAAUGACUAUUAAGAAUGCAUAAAAUAAAACUAAUAAUAAUGAGCAUUACUCUACAAAAAAUAUUUUUAUAUCAAAAUCUUAUCAAAAUCUUUUGCAGAUAUGGACAUCCAUCGUGUUUUUAUAAACUACACGUACAAAGUUUUGUUAAUUCCGUUCAGCAAUUGUUGCACUGACAAUAUAUCUCAGUAGAUGUUCAGUAUUUGCCAAAAUUCGAAUAUUCCAAGAAAAUAAUGGAAACAGAAUUUCCUCCAAAUGCCCAUCUACACAUUAUAUCCUUACCAUAAAACUAUUCAGUGUUUCAAGAGAGUUGCGCUGACAGUUUGUGACGUAACCACAAUUUGAAAGUAAAAAUUCCCAAAAUGGUACAUAAUUCACAUCUACACAAUAUGUCCUUAUUAAUUCCUAAAUUACUGUAAAUUAGAUUACGACGAGUUGUAAUGACACUGUUUCAGACGUUUUCUUUUCCAUAUUGGUCGAAAUUCCAAAGUCAGAAAGGCAAAUCCCGUCAAAAAUAAUGGAAUUUUCUAACAUUAUGUACAACUACACAUGAUGUGCCUUUAUCUGGUGAGUUUCUUGAAAUUCUGUACACCAAUUUAAGAGGGUCGGAUGGUCGUGUCAAUUCUUUAAGACAUCUGAUGCUGGUCAAAUUUUUUAAGCUAAAAAGGGGCAAAAUAAAAUCCACAGAAAAAUAGUAGAAUCAGGACUUUCUGUGAAUAUCCAAUUCUACACAUAAUGUGCUCAAAAUAACCUCAUAGUUUUAUGUAAUUCUGCUCAGUGGUAGAAUGAUACAUGUAGUUGUGCCAAUUUAUUAAAACCUAGAACUAAGACUUGUGAAAAACAAUACCUCUUCAACUUAUUGUGCUUCUCUAAUGGUCAAGAACAUAAUUAUGUUUAUUUUCUACUUUAAUCCUUUUUUAAAAAUGCAAAUGAAGCUGCAAAAGUUUGCAUAUGAUUUUUACCUCUAGAUAUGUUUUUAGCACAAAAUCAAAAACACAAAUGUCAAAUAGUCAACUUUAAUAAAUAUAAUAAAAAAGAGUCAUAAGAAUAACAAAAACAAAUAUCACAUAUUAGUGCAUUGUAUAUUUACUGAUAAUAAAAUAUUCAGCUGCAGGCAAGAAGGAUUUCUUAAAAAUAAGAAAUUAUUAAACACAUAUUAUUCAUGAAAACAGAACAGCCAUCCCUACCAAAUCAUCCUAGGGUCAGUUUAUAGAACAGCCACCCCUACCAAGUAUCAUCCUAGGGUUUGUUUAUAAAACACCCACUCCUACCAAGUAUCAUCCUAGGUUUGUUUAUAAUGAACAGCCACCCUUGCCAAGUAUCAUUCUAGGGUCUGUUCAGAGUUAUCUUAAAUUUUUUUUUAUCAUUGAGGUCAAUAGGAAUUUAUUUUAAAGGGGCAUAAACGAAAUAAAAAAAACAAAAGAAUUACAAAAACAUGGAUGACUUUAGCUGUAACUACUGACUACAUAAUGUGCUAGUGUAAUAUUUUGCAAUGUUUGAGUAACAAAAAAUUUCAUUUCCAUAAAAAUAACUAUUUCUUAGAUUGAUUUUAUCUUCUUCCAUGCUUGAAAUUAGACAUU
This is a long non-coding RNA of Magallana angulata, 2415 nucleotides long. RefSeq lists it as uncharacterized. NCBI's taxonomy places the organism in Eukaryota, Metazoa, Mollusca, Bivalvia, Ostreida, Ostreidae. The transcript is spliced from 2 exons. The record is from RefSeq and is a predicted model, not a curated record.